This 193-nucleotide ribosomal RNA is filed under the name Calonectria pauciramosa. RNAcentral's name for it is "partial 18S ribosomal RNA". It matches the Rfam family "Eukaryotic small subunit ribosomal RNA", at positions 1642 to 1831 of the family's 1831-position model. RNAcentral also lists the same sequence under 15 other names. The record is from RNAcentral. Lineage: Eukaryota; Fungi; Ascomycota; Sordariomycetes; Hypocreales; Nectriaceae.
GUUUUACGUCCCCUGCCCUUUGUACACACCGCCCGUCGCUACUACCGAUUGAAUGGCUCAGUGAGGCGUCCGGACUGGCCCAGAGAGGCGGGCAACUGCCACUCAGGGCCGGAAAGCUCUCCAAACUCGGUCAUUUAGAGGAAGUAAAAGUCGUAACAAGGUCUCCGUUGGUGAACCAGCGGAGGGAUCAUUA